UACAGAGGGUGCAAACGUUGUUCGGAAUUACUGGGCGUAAAGCGCGUGUAGGCGGCUAUGCAAGUCGGGCGUGAAAGCCCACGGCUCAACCGUGGAAGUGCACUCGAAACUGCGUAGCUAGAGUCCCGGAGAGGAAGGUGGAAUACUUGGUGUAGAGGUGAAAUUCGUAGAUAUCAAGUGGAACACCGGUGGCGAAGGCGGCCUUCUGGACGGUGACUGACGCUGAGACGCGAAAGCGUGGGGAGCAAACAGG
RNAcentral lists this non-coding RNA (253 nucleotides) under uncultured bacterium. RNAcentral describes it as "partial 16S ribosomal RNA". It matches the Rfam family "Bacterial small subunit ribosomal RNA", at positions 524 to 776 of the family's 1533-position model. The record is from RNAcentral. RNAcentral also lists the same sequence under 1 other name.